RNAcentral lists this ribosomal RNA (825 nucleotides) under fungal sp. MS105. RNAcentral's name for it is "eukaryotic LSU rRNA". The stretch from base 555 to 825 matches the Rfam family "Eukaryotic large subunit ribosomal RNA", at positions 1 to 265 of the family's 3401-position model. The record is from RNAcentral. Lineage: Eukaryota; Fungi.
AAUUCCAAUUGGGUCAGGUUGUGCUGGCUGAAAAGCAAGUGCACGCCUGCUCAUAAGCAUUCAAACCUCUGUGCACCUUUCAUAGAAUAGCUUGUAGAUUGGGUGACCUGUGUCACUUGGUUUGCAGCUGCUCUGUGUUUUUACAAACUUAUAAAUCAGUUCAGAAUGUUUAUUGUGUAAAUACACAUUUUUAUACAACUUUCAGCAACGGAUCUCUUGGCUCUCGCAUCGAUGAAGAACGCAGCGAAAUGCGAUAAGUAAUGUGAAUUGCAGAAUUCAGUGAAUCAUCGAAUCUUUGAACGCACCUUGCGCUCCUUGGUAUUCCGAGGAGCAUGCCUGUUUGAGUGUCAUGGUAUUCUCAAUUCUCCAGGUCUUUGUAAGACUCUGGUGAUAUUGGAUUUGGAGGCUAUUGCUGGAACCUUGCAGGUACCUGCUCCUCUCAAAUGUAUCAGUAUGAAUGUUCACUUCAUGCUCAGUGUGAUAAUUAUCUGCACUGUGUCUGAGUGUCAUAGAUUCAUGCUUCAAACUGUCGUCAAGACAAUUCAUUUGACUUCUGACCUCAAAUCAGGUAGGACUACCCGCUGAACUUAAGCAUAUCAAUAAGCGGAGGAAAAGAAACUAACAAGGAUUCCCCUAGUAACUGCGAGUGAAGCGGGAAAAGCUCAAAUUUAAAAUCUGGCAGUCUUUGGCUGUCCGAGUUGUAAUCUGGAGAAGUGCUUUCCGUGCUGGACCGUGUACAAGUCUCUUGGAAUAGAGCGUCAUAGAGGGUGAGAAUCCCGUCUUUGACACGGACUACCAGUGCUUUGUGAUGCGCUUUCAAAGAGU